UAGAGGCAACAUAACCGAGAA
This 21-nucleotide microRNA is filed under the name Marchantia polymorpha subsp. ruderalis. The record is from RNAcentral. Lineage: Eukaryota; Viridiplantae; Streptophyta; Marchantiopsida; Marchantiales; Marchantiaceae.